This 372-nucleotide ribosomal RNA is filed under the name uncultured organism. RNAcentral's name for it is "bacterial SSU rRNA". It matches the Rfam family "Bacterial small subunit ribosomal RNA", at positions 526 to 896 of the family's 1533-position model. The record is from RNAcentral.
CGUAGGGGGCUAGCGUUGUCCGGAAUCAUUGGGCGUAAAGCGCGUGUAGGCGGCCCGAUAAGUCCGCUGUGAAAGUCGGGGGCUCAACCCUCGGAUGCCGGUGGAUACUGUCGGGCUCGAGUACGGAAGAGGCGAGUGGAAUUCCUGGUGUAGCGGUGAAAUGCGCAGAUAUCAGGAGGAACACCUAUUGCGAAGGCAGCUCGCUGGGACGUAACUGACGCUGAGACGCGAAAGCGUGGGGAGCAAACAGGAUUAGAUACCCUGGUAGUCCACGCUGUAAACGAUGGGCACUAGGUGUGGGGGGUGUCGACUCCCUCCGUGCCGAAGCUAACGCAUUAAGUGCCCCGCCUGGGGAGUACGGCCGCAAGGCUA